AGUGAACGCUGGCGGUAGGCCUAACACAUGCAAGUCGAACGGCAGCACAGGAGAGCUUGCUCUCUGGGUGGCGAGUGGCGGACGGGUGAGGAAUACAUCGGAAUCUACUCUGUCGUGGGGGAUAACGUAGGGAAACUUACGCUAAUACCGCAUACGACCUACGGGUGAAAGCAGGGGACCCUCGGGCCUUGCGCGAUUGAAUGAGCCGAUGUCGGAUUAGCUAGUUGGCGGGGUAAAGGCUCACCAAGGCGCCGAUCCGUAGCUGGUCUGAGAGUAUGAUCAGCCACACUGGAACUGAGACACGGUCCAGACUCCUACGGGAGGAAGCAGUGGGGAAUAUUGGACAAUGGGCGCAAGCCUGAUCCAGCCAUACCGCGUGGGUGAAGAAGGCCUUCGGGUUGUAAGGCCCUUUUGUUGGGAAAGAAAUCCAGCUGGCUAAUACCCGGUUGGGAUGACAGUACCCAAAGAAUAAGCACCGGCUAACUUCGUGCCAGCCGCCGCCGUAA
This 506-nucleotide ribosomal RNA is filed under the name uncultured bacterium. RNAcentral's name for it is "partial 16S ribosomal RNA". It matches the Rfam family "Bacterial small subunit ribosomal RNA", at positions 29 to 523 of the family's 1533-position model. The record is from RNAcentral.